This 63-nucleotide transfer RNA is filed under the name Hexacentrus japonicus. RNAcentral's name for it is "tRNA-Met". The record is from RNAcentral. Lineage: Eukaryota; Metazoa; Arthropoda; Insecta; Orthoptera; Tettigoniidae.
AAAAAGGUAAGCUAAAUAAAGCUAAUGGGUUCAUACCCCGUAAAUAGGAUUACCUCCUUUUUA